UAACGGGACAAGGUGCCCCGACAGCGUCAGGGAGGCUGAUCGCCACCAAGCUGGCGCAGGCGGAGGCGGAGCUUCGCAAGGUGGACGAGGCGCUGCAGCGCGUGCGCGGGAUGCUCUGAGCCAAUCACAACGCGGCGCCGGGAAGCUCCGACCAAUCAAAAUGUGGCGCCGGGAUGUUCUGACCAAUAAAAACAUAGCGCGCAGGAUACUCUCA
Non-coding RNA from Coturnix japonica (Japanese quail), 214 nucleotides. NCBI's taxonomy places the organism in Eukaryota, Metazoa, Chordata, Aves, Galliformes, Phasianidae. The record is from RefSeq and is a predicted model, not a curated record.